This 437-nucleotide ribosomal RNA is filed under the name uncultured bacterium. RNAcentral describes it as "bacterial SSU rRNA". It matches the Rfam family "Bacterial small subunit ribosomal RNA", at positions 30 to 514 of the family's 1533-position model. The record is from RNAcentral.
UGAACGCUGGCGGCGUGCUUAACACAUGCAAGUCGAACGAACCUUCGGGUUAGUGGCGGACGGGUGAGUAACGCGUGGGAAUCUGCCCUCAGGAGGGGGAUAACGGCUGGAAACGGCCGCUAAUACCCCAUAUGCCGAGAGGUGAAAUGAAUUUCGCCUGAGGAUGAGCCCGCGUCUGAUUAGCUAGUUGGUGGGGUAAAGGCCUACCAAGGCGACGAUCAGUAGCUGGUCUGAGAGGAUGAUCAGCCACACUGGGACUGAGACACGGCCCAGACUCCUACGGGAGGCAGCAGUGGGGAAUUUUCCGCAAUGGGCGAAAGCCUGACGGAGCAACGCCGCGUGAGGGGUGAAGGCCUCUGGGCUGUAAACCUCUUUUCUCAAGGAAGAAGAUCUGACGGUACUUGAGGAAUAAGCCACGGCUAAUUCCGUGCCAGGAG